This 301-nucleotide ribosomal RNA is filed under the name uncultured bacterium. RNAcentral describes it as "partial 16S ribosomal RNA". It matches the Rfam family "Bacterial small subunit ribosomal RNA", at positions 509 to 807 of the family's 1533-position model. The record is from RNAcentral.
CAGCCGCCACGGGAACACGGAGGGUGCAAGCGUUAAUCGGAAUUACUGGGCGUAAAGCGCACGCAGGCGGUCUGUCAAGUCAGAUGUGAAAUCCCCGGGCUUAACCUGGGAACUGCAUUUGAAACUGGCAGGCUAGAGUCUUGUAGAGGGGGGUAGAAUUCCAGGUGUAGCGGUGAAAUGCGUAGAGAUCUGGAGGAAUACCGGUGGCGAAGGCGGCCCCCUGGACAAAGACUGACGCUCAGGUGCGAAAGCGUGGGGAGCAAACAGGAUUAGAUACCCCAGUAGUCCCUGUCUCUUAUAC